RNAcentral lists this long non-coding RNA (1127 nucleotides) under Salmo trutta (river trout). RNAcentral's name for it is "lncRNA (ENSSTUG00000038869.1)". Lineage: Eukaryota; Metazoa; Chordata; Actinopteri; Salmoniformes; Salmonidae. The record is from RNAcentral.
CCCCUGCACAGCCCAGUCUGCCCUGUACGAGCAUCCCGCUCGUACAGGGCUACUAGUUCCAUCCAGCCAAGGCGGGUUGUGCAGGAGGUAAGAUCUAGACCGGCUGUGCGCCUCCAUAGCCCUGGGUUUCCAGCUCCUGUCUCUCGUGCGGACCCGGAAGUGCGUCAACCCAGUCCGACUGGUCCUGUUCCCGCUCCCCGCACUAGCCUUCAAGUGCGUAAACCCAGCACCGCCAGUCAACAGUCGUCGGAGCUGCCCGCCAGUCAACAGUCGUCGGAGCUGCCCGCCAGUCAACAGUCGUCGGAGCUGCCCGCCAGUCAACAGUCGUUGGAGUGGCCAGACUGCGCUGAACUGCCGGAGUGGCCAGACUGCGCUGAACUGCCGGAGUGGCCAGACUGCGCUGAACUGCCGGAGUGGCCAGACUGCGCUGAACUGCCGGAGUGGCCAGACUGCGCUGAACUGCCGGAGUGGCCAGACUGCCCUGAACUGCCGGAGUGGCCAGACUGCCCUGAACUGCCGGAGUGGCCAGACUGCCCUGAACUGCCGGAGUGGCCAGACUGCCCAGACUGUCCCGAGUUGCCAGACUGCCCAGACUGUCCCGAGUUGCCAGACUGCCCAGACUGUCCCGAGUUGCCAGACUGCCCAGACUGUCCCGAGUUGCCAGACUGCCCAGACUGUCCCGAGUUGACAGACUGCCCAGACUGUCCCGAGCUGCCAGACUGUCCAGACUGCCCCGAGCUGCCAGACUGCACCAAGCUGCCAGACUGCCCCGAGCUGCCAGACUGGCUAGACUGCCCCGAACUGCCAGAGUGGCCCGACUGCCCGGAACGGCCAGAACCGGAGCCACCUCCUGAUAUAGGUGGGUUGGGGAGGGGGGGGUGUAGCACAGUGCCGUCGUUGACGGCAGCCACCCUCCCUUCCCUCCCUUUAGUAGAGGGGAAAUUUUGUUUUGUUGUUUGGGGUUGUUGUUUUUGUUUUGUUUUUUGUUUUAAAGGUGCUUCCGGGGUUAGCACCUUUAAGGGGGGGGUACUGUCACGUCCUGGCCAGUAUAAGGGUUAAUUAGUAUUGUAGUUUGGUCAGGACGUGGCAGAGGGUAUUUGUUUUAUGUGGUUCAGGGUGGUGUGUUU